Molecule: non-coding RNA, 45 nt
Filed under: Schistosoma mattheei
Lineage: Eukaryota; Metazoa; Platyhelminthes; Trematoda; Strigeidida; Schistosomatidae
Source: RNAcentral
AUCCAACUGACGAGUCACAAAUAGGACGAAACACUCAUCCUAGAU